RNAcentral lists this long non-coding RNA (283 nucleotides) under Elaeis guineensis (African oil palm). RNAcentral describes it as "long non-coding RNA (EGUI_LNC047337)". The record is from RNAcentral. Lineage: Eukaryota; Viridiplantae; Streptophyta; Magnoliopsida; Arecales; Arecaceae.
GGGUGCCACUGCGAGAUCCCAUGAAGAAGAAAGUGAAAAGAUAAAACUUACUUUCUUGCAAAAUCUUAGAUCUUGAAACUCUAGGUGUUGUUGUAUGUGAUGCAAGUUGUGAAGAUGGUUAGUUACAUUAAUCUUAUUUAAUCAAAAUUAUUUUAAUUUAAAAUUAUAAAAAUUUAAAUUUGAUCUAAAAUAUUUUUUGAUUUGAUGUAAAAAGUUUACAUGAAAAAUUAUUUUUGAAACCUUAACUAUGUUGAUGCAAAACUUAAUUGAGAAUUAAGUAUCA